AUUGAACGCUGGCGGCAGGCUUAACACAUGCAAGUCGAGCGGAGAUGAGGUGCUUGCACCUUAUCUUAGCGGCGGACGGGUGAGUAAUGCUUAGGAAUCUGCCUAUUAGUGGGGGACAACAUUCCGAAAGGAAUGCUAAUACCGCAUACGUCCUACGGGAGAAAGCAGAGGAUCUUCGGACCUUGCGCUAAUAGAUGAGCCUAAGUCGGAUUAGCUAGUUGGUGGGGUAAAGGCCUACCAAGGCGACGAUCUGUAGCGGGUCUGAGAGGAUGAUCCGCCACACUGGGACUGAGACACGGCCCAGACUCCUACGGGAGGCAGCAGUGGGGAAUAUUGGACAAUGGGGGGAACCCUGAUCCAGCCAUGCCGCGUGUGUGAAGAAGGCCAUAUGGUUGUAAAGCACUUUAAGCGAGGAGGAGGCUACUGAGACUAAUACUCUUGGAUAGUGGACGUUACUCGCAGAAUAAGCACCGGCUAACUCUGUGCCAGCCGCCGCGGUAA
Molecule: ribosomal RNA, 501 nt
Filed under: uncultured bacterium
Lineage: Bacteria
Description: partial 16S ribosomal RNA
Rfam family: Bacterial small subunit ribosomal RNA
Source: RNAcentral